AGACUCAGAUCGAAGUCCGGUCUCUAAUCGCCGUCCGUUCUUCAAAUCGACGUCCAAUGCUGACGUCACAAUAAAAUAAGAUUCCAAAUCGACGGCCAAUCCUAUCACCCUCUAAUCGACGACCAAUUUUUAACUUCUCUAAUCCACGUCCGUUUUAAUGGACCUAUGGAAAGAUCCAAAAGCCGAGACUCAGACAUAUUUGGCCAACAUACCGUAUUAUACGGAAAUAUAUCUAAAACAAAUGAAUAAAACUGCCGAAAUUACAGAACUAAAACUUGAAUUGUCCGAGAGAGGAGUAAAGACAGUUGUAGGUCAAUAUUUUUACAACCAAAACAUAGUAUAUGUGACAAAUAAAAGGUAUAAAACAUAUUUUUUUUAAUUGUGCUUCCGAUGUUUACAGGUAGUAAUAUUAAUUUUGUUGUAACUUAGGAGCUUCUUAAAAAACAAUGAGAUGUGGUGUGAUAGCUAAUCGGACAACUAUUAUACACCAGAGUUGAAAUGAAGUGUUUGUAAGCAAUUAUAUAGCCCUUUACCUUUAUAGCUUGCUGUUUGGUGUAAGCCAAGGCUCCGUGUUUAAGACCGUAUUUUGACCUAUUAUGUUUUUUUUUUAUAACUGAAACUUGGAUUGAGAGUUGUCUCAUUGCCACUCAUACCACAUUUUCUUAUAUCUAUAGGCAACCGUACGUCCUUCAACAAUGCUAAAGUCGGCAAUUAAAGGCCACCACAACAUGAAACAUAUAAAACAAUUAUUAUAAAACUAAAAACUGACUUAUAACAAAAAAAUCCGAAAAUGCAAGACAUAAACCAACGACAACGGUGAACCACUAGACUACAGACACAUAAAAUAUUUGGCUGGGUUUAACAUGUUUGUGAGCGCUUAAUCUUCCAUUAACCUGGAACAGUGGUGUAACAGCACAACAUAAAAACAUAAUGCCAAUUUAUUUUGUACAUUUUUCACUCCAGGUGUAAAACUAAUGAAUUUGUUGAAUACUAGUAUAUCUUACAGAGUUCAAAUUAUAAUACCCUAAAAUCAGUUGGUACUUUCUCCUUCAUUUUGUCCAUUGUUGAAAACUGAGUGUUGCCCAAUAUCAAUGUCGUUUUGUUUUCUUUGUCGUUGGGUUCCUAUAUCUUAAUACGUAUACUCACAUGCCAUUUAUCAAUAUGCAUGUAUAAGUGUAAGUGCAGCAAUUAUUAUUUAUUAUUCAUUGAUUCAUUGAAAUUAAGAAGACUACAAUAGUUAUCGAAGGUACCAGGAUUAUAAUUUAGUACGCCAGACGCGCGUUUCAUCUA
RNAcentral lists this long non-coding RNA (1290 nucleotides) under Mytilus galloprovincialis (Mediterranean mussel). Lineage: Eukaryota; Metazoa; Mollusca; Bivalvia; Mytilida; Mytilidae. The record is from RNAcentral.